GACGAACGCUGGCGGCGUGCUUAACACAUGCAAGUCGAACGAUGAACCCGGAGCUUGCUCCGGCGGAUUAGUGGCGAACGGGUGAGUAACACGUGAGUAACCUGCCCUUGACUCUGGGAUAACUGCGGGAAACUGUAGCUAAUACCGGAUACGACCCUCGGCGGCAUCGCCAGGGGGUGGAAAGAAUUUCGGUCAAGGAUGGACUCGCGGCCUAUCGGCUAGUUGGUGAGGUAACGGCUCACCAAGGCGACGACGGGUAGCCGGCCUGAGGGGGUGACCGGCCGCACUGGGACUGAGACACGGCCCAGACUCCUACGGGAGGCAGCAGUGGGGAAUAUUGCACAAUGGGCGCAAGCCUGAUGCAGCAACGCCGCGUGAGGGAUGAAGGCCUUCGGGUUGUAAACCUCUUUUAGCAGGGAAGAAGCGAAAGUGACGGUACCUGCAGAAAAAGCACCGGCUAACUACGUGCCAGCCGCCGCCGUAA
Molecule: ribosomal RNA, 484 nt
Filed under: uncultured bacterium
Lineage: Bacteria
Description: partial 16S ribosomal RNA
Rfam family: Bacterial small subunit ribosomal RNA
Source: RNAcentral